Molecule: ribosomal RNA, 548 nt
Filed under: uncultured bacterium
Lineage: Bacteria
Description: partial 16S ribosomal RNA
Rfam family: Bacterial small subunit ribosomal RNA
Source: RNAcentral
UGGGGAAUAUUGCACAAUGGGCGGAAGCCUGAUGCAGCAACGCCGCGUGAGGGAUGACGGCCUUCGGGUUGUAAACCUCUUUUAGCAGGGAAGAAGCGAGAGUGACGGUACCUGCAGAAAAAGCGCCGGCUAGCUACGUGCCAGCAGCCGCGGUAAUACGUAGGGCGCAAGCGUUAUCCGGAAUUAUUGGGCGUAAAGAGCUCGUAGGCGGUCUGUCGCGUCUGCUGUGAAAACCCGAGGCUCAACCUCGGGCCUGCAGUGGGUACGGGCAGACUAGAGUGCGGUAGGGGAGAUUGGAAUUCCUGGUGUAGCGGUGGAAUGCGCAGAUAUCAGGAGGAACACCGAUGGCGAAGGCAGAUCUCUGGGCCGUAACUGACGCUGAGGAGCGAAAGGGUGGGGAGCAAACAGGCUUAGAUACCCUGGUAGUCCACCCCGUAAACGUUGGGAACUAGUUGUGGGACCUUUCCACGGUCUCCGUGACGCAGCUAACGCAUUAAGUUCCCCGCCUGGGGAGUACGGCCGCAAGGCUAAAACUCAAAGGAAUUGAC